RNAcentral lists this microRNA (23 nucleotides) under Echinococcus granulosus. Its description in RNAcentral is "egr-miR-10227b-5p". The record is from miRBase by way of RNAcentral. Lineage: Eukaryota; Metazoa; Platyhelminthes; Cestoda; Cyclophyllidea; Taeniidae.
UGGAGCUUGGUGACAAGACUGAC